RNAcentral lists this ribosomal RNA (292 nucleotides) under uncultured bacterium. RNAcentral describes it as "partial 16S ribosomal RNA". The record is from RNAcentral.
GGACUACAGGGGUAUCUAAUCCUGUUUGAUCCCCACGCUUUCGCGCCUCAGUGUCAGUUGUCGUCCAGAUAGCCGCCUUCGCCACCGGUGUUCCUGCUAAUAUCUACGAAUUUCACCUCUACAUUAGCAAUUCCGCUAUCCCCUCCGACACUCUAGCUUAACAGUUUCAAAGGCAGUUCCACAGUUGAGCUGUGGGAUUUCACCCCUGACUUGUUAAGCCACCUACGCGCGCUUUACGCCCAGUGAUUCCGAACAACGCUAGCACCCUUCGUAUUACCGCGGCUGCUGGCAC